This 254-nucleotide unclassified non-coding RNA is filed under the name uncultured Acidimicrobiia bacterium. RNAcentral's name for it is "contains 16S-23S intergenic spacer region". It matches the Rfam family "Bacterial small subunit ribosomal RNA", at positions 524 to 776 of the family's 1533-position model. Lineage: Bacteria; Bacillati; Actinomycetota; Acidimicrobiia. The record is from RNAcentral.
UACGUAGGGUGCAAGCGUUAUCCGGAAUCAUUGGGCGUAAAGAGCUCGCAGGCGGCCUAUUAAGUCUGAUGUGAAAGUCCGAGGCUCAACCUCGGAAUUGCAGUCGAUACUGCUGUGACUCGAGUCCGGUAGAGGAGAAUGAAAUUCUCGGUGUAGCGGUGAAAUGCGCAGAUAUCGAGAGGAACACCAGUAGCGAAGGCGGUUCUCUGGGCCGGCACUGACGCUGAGGAGCGAAAGCGUGGGGAGCAAACAGG